CCUACGGGUGGCUGCAGUGGGGAAUAUUGGACAAUGGGCGAAAGCCUGAUCCAGCCAUGCCGCGUGUGUGAAGAAGGCCUUCGGGUUGUAAAGCACUUUCAGUGGGGAAGAAAGCCUUGGGGCUAAUACCCUCGAGGAAGGACUUCACCCACAGAAGAAGCACCGGCUAACUCCGUGCCAGCAGCCGCGGUAAUACGGAGGGUGCGAGCGUUAAUCGGAAUUACUGGGCGUAAAGCGCGCGUAGGCGGUCUGAUAAGCCGGUUGUGAAAGCCCCGGGCUCAACCUGGGAACGGCAUCCGGAACUGUCAGGCUAGAGUGCAGGAGAGGAAGGUAGAAUUCCCGGUGUAGCGGUGAAAUGCGUAGAGAUCGGGAGGAAUACCAGUGGCGAAGGCAGCCUUCUGGACUGACACUGACGCUGAGGUGCGAAAGCGUGGGUAGCAAACAGGAUUAGAUACCCGGGUAGUC
RNAcentral lists this ribosomal RNA (465 nucleotides) under Vreelandella stevensii. RNAcentral describes it as "partial 16S ribosomal RNA". It matches the Rfam family "Bacterial small subunit ribosomal RNA", at positions 338 to 795 of the family's 1533-position model. The record is from RNAcentral. Lineage: Bacteria; Pseudomonadati; Pseudomonadota; Gammaproteobacteria; Oceanospirillales; Halomonadaceae.